This 478-nucleotide ribosomal RNA is filed under the name Boana raniceps (Chaco treefrog). Its description in RNAcentral is "partial large subunit ribosomal RNA". It matches the Rfam family "Bacterial large subunit ribosomal RNA", at positions 1926 to 2555 of the family's 2925-position model. The record is from RNAcentral. Lineage: Eukaryota; Metazoa; Chordata; Amphibia; Anura; Hylidae.
AACGGCCGCGGUAUCCUAACCGUGCGAAGGUAGCGUAAUCACUUGUUCUUUAAAUGAGGACUAGUAUGAAUGGCACCACGAGGGUUAAACUGUCUCCUUUUUUUAAUCAGUGAAACUAAUCUCCCCGUGAAGAAGCGGGGAUUCUUUUAUAAGACGAGAAGACCCUAUGGAGCUUUAAACAAGUUAACACCUGCUACUAAUCUUCACUUUCCUGAACCACCACAUUAAAUAUAGCACCUCUGAUUAACAGUUUUCGAUUGGGGUGAUCAUGGAGCAAAAAUCAACCUCCACGACGAAAAGGAACACCUCCUUGAGCCAAAAGCUACAACUUUAAGCACUAAAAAACUAACGCACUUUGACCCAAUUCUUUGAGCAACGAACCAAGUUACCCUAGGGAUAACAGCGCAAUCCACUUUAAGAGCUCCUAUCGACAAGUGGGUUUACGACCUCGAUGUUGGAUCAGGGUAUCCCAGUGGUG